This 253-nucleotide ribosomal RNA is filed under the name uncultured bacterium. RNAcentral's name for it is "partial 16S ribosomal RNA". It matches the Rfam family "Bacterial small subunit ribosomal RNA", at positions 524 to 776 of the family's 1533-position model. The record is from RNAcentral.
UACGGAGGGUGCGAGCGUUGUCCGGAAUCACUGGGCGUAAAGGGCGCGUAGGUGGCACGGGUAGUCGUCGGUGAAAGCUCAGGGCUCAACCCUGAGUCGGCCGGUGAUACUCCCGAGCUCGAGUGUGGUAGAGGCCAAUGGAAUUCCGGGUGUAGUGGUGGAAUACGUAGAUAUCCGGAGGAACACCAGCGGCGAAGGCGGCUUUCUGGUCUGAUACUGACGCUGAGGCGCGAAAGCGUGGGGAGCGAUCCGG